AGUGAACGCUGGCGGUAGGCCUAACACAUGCAAGUCGAACGGCAGCACAGUAAGAGCUUGCUCUUACGGGUGGCGAGUGGCGGACGGGUGAGGAAUACAUCGGAAUCUACUUUUUCGUGGGGGAUAACGUAGGGAAACUUACGCUAAUACCGCAUACGACCUACGGGUGAAAGCAGGGGAUCUUCGGACCUUGCGCGAUUGAAUGAGCCGAGGUCGGAUUAGCUAGUUGGCGGGGUAAAGCCCACCAAGGCGACGAUCCGUAGCCGGUCUGAGAGGAUGAGCAGCCACACUGGAACUGAGACACGGUCCAGACUCCUACGGGAGGCAGCAGUGGGGAAUAUUGGACAAUGGGCGCAAGCCUGAUCCAGCCAUACCGCGUGGGUGAAGAAGGCCUUCGGGUUGUAAAGCCCUUUUGUUGGGAAAGAAAAGCAGCAGGUUAAUACCCCGCUGUUCUGACGGUACCCAAAGAAUAAGCACCGGCUAACUUCGUG
This 491-nucleotide ribosomal RNA is filed under the name uncultured bacterium. RNAcentral describes it as "partial 16S ribosomal RNA". It matches the Rfam family "Bacterial small subunit ribosomal RNA", at positions 29 to 507 of the family's 1533-position model. The record is from RNAcentral.